GAUGAACGCUGGCGAGAUGCCUUACACAUGCAAGUCGUACGGGGAUUUUUAAUUCAAGUGGCGGACGGGUGAGUAACACGUAAGAAUUUGCCUUUAGGAGGGGGACAACAACUGGAAACGGUUGCUAAUACCCCAUAUGCUUUCGAGUGAAAUGGAUUUUUCCGCCUAAAGAGAAGCUUGCGGCUGAUUAGCUUGUUGGUAAGGUAAGAGCUUACCAAGGCGACGAUCAGUAUCUGGUUUGAGAGGACGAUCAGACACACUGGAACUGAGACACGGUCCAGACUCCUACGGGAGGCAGCAGUGGGGAAUUUUCCGCAAUGGGCGAAAGCCUGACGGAGCAAUACCGCGUGAGGGAAGAAUGCCUAUGGGUUGUAAACCUCUUUUUUCAGGGAGGAAUCAAAUGACGUGUACCUGAAGAAUAAGCAUCGGCUAACUCCGUG
This 440-nucleotide ribosomal RNA is filed under the name uncultured bacterium. RNAcentral's name for it is "bacterial SSU rRNA". It matches the Rfam family "Bacterial small subunit ribosomal RNA", at positions 28 to 507 of the family's 1533-position model. The record is from RNAcentral.